CCUACGGGAGGCAGCAGUAGGGAAUAUUCGGCAAUGGGGGGAACCCUGACCGAGCAACGCCGCGUGCAGGAAGAAGGAAUUCGGUCUGUAAACUUCUGUUAUAAAGGAAGAAAAACUGAAGGAGGAAAUGAAGUCCGAGUGACGGUACGUUGUGAGAAAGCCACGGCUAACUACGUGCCAGCAGCCGCGGUAAUACGUAGGUGGAAAGCGUUAUCCGGAAUUAUUGGGCGUAAAGAGGGAGUAGGCGGUAGAAAAGGUCUGGGGUGAAAGACCGAAGCUUAACUGCGGUAAGCCUUAGAAACCGGGCAGCUAGAGUGCAGGAGAGGAACGCGGAAUGCCAUGUGUAGCGGUGAAAUGCGUAGAGAUAUGGAAGAACACCAAUGGCGAAGGCAGCGAACUGGCCUGCAACUGACGCUGAGGCACGAAAGCGUGGGGAGCAAACAGGAUUAGAUACCCUGGUAGUC
This 464-nucleotide ribosomal RNA is filed under the name uncultured bacterium. Its description in RNAcentral is "partial 16S ribosomal RNA". It matches the Rfam family "Bacterial small subunit ribosomal RNA", at positions 338 to 795 of the family's 1533-position model. The record is from RNAcentral.